UCGUUUGAUAGACCGUUCUGUCUGAUUCUUUCUCCGCUGGAUUUUUCAGAAUCCAAGCACCAGAGAUUCUCUUGAUUCUUGCUAAGCUCCACAAGAGAAAAAGAUCAACCAUGUCGAUGCAGAAGAGAGCUUUGGUCUCCUCUUCUUCGGGUCAACCAAGUCAACCCAAGAGGUCCUGCUUGCAUCCGGUCGAUGAAGCAUGGAAUGGGUCUGAGACGAAUCUCCUGCUGAGUUGCCAUUUGACAAAGGAGGAUGUGCGGAGUGUGGUCAGAGAAGAGCUGGAGCGUGCCAAAUCUCACUCGGCUGAAUUUCAAAGUUGCACUGGGCAUGCUCUUGAAGAUAUAGUGCAACUGAUGCACUCGCUGGAGUAUAAUGCUCAGAAACUGAAGGAAGCACUGAAGCUUGCAGGCAUUCACUGUCCCUACCUUGCAAGUUGCACAGGGCAUGGUCUUGAAGACAUAGCGCAACAGAUGCACUCACUAGAGGAUGCUGUUCAGAAACUGAAGGAAGUACUGGAGUUUGCAAGCAUUCACUCUCCCCACGUUGUAAGGGCUAAUACUAACUCUACGGGAAGGAAUGAUGUGAGAAACUUACAGCUUCAACUUGGAACCAAACUGUCACUUCCUCUAUUUACUGGAAACAAACUAGAAGGAGAUGGCAGAGGACACAUUAACGUUGCCUUGAUUGAUGUGAAUACCGGGAAGUCGUUACAUCAGGCCUGGAAUCCUCUAUUAAGUUGGAUGUUGUCGUGCUUGAAGGUGACUUCAACAAAGACGAUGAGGAUAACUGGACCCAAGAAGAGUUUGAGAACCAUGUGGUUAAACAACGUGAAGGAAAGAGGCCGCUUUUGACUGGAGAUCUCCUAGUGAAGCUCGAAAGAGGUGUUGGGAAGCUGGGAAGUUUCAUGUUUACUGACAAUUCCAGCUGGAAUAGGAGUAAAAGUUUCAGGAUAGGGCUUAAGGUGGCCUCAGGUUAUUGUGGGAACACACGAAUCCGAGAAGCAAAAACAGAAGCCUUCACUGUGAGGGAGCAUAGAGGAGAAUCAUACAAGAAACAUUAUCCACCUGCACCUGACGAUGAAAUCUGGAGGUUGGAGAAGAUCGCCAAAGAUGGGAAACUUCACCAAAGACUAAAUGAAGCAGGAAUACGUAAAGUGGAGGACUUUCUGAUGCAACUGUUCACAGACUCUAAGAAACUGAGAGAGAUUCUUGGAAAGAGCAUCACACAGAAGAACUGGGAUAUCCUUAUAGAUCAUGCAAGGACUUGCAAUAUGGAUCAGCAAACUUUGUUUGCUACUCAUCGACUUUCUGCCCUAGAGAAGGAACGUGGAGAUACAAUUGUGAAAAAGGCCUUGGAUAACCAGAAUGAUGUUAGGGAGUUCAAUGGUGAGACAUUUUCUGGUUCGAUGCAGAAGAAAAACUCAAGCCCUUUUCCAUCUCAAGUAUUUGGAGGACGAAUUGAAAAUCCCACCCUAGUUCCACCAAACUUGGCUGCUUCUGUUGGUCCGGAAGCUCCUUUGACAAAUGCAGGUUUCCUUGCUCAAGGACAUAAUGGUGCAGCUGCUUCGGCAUUGUCAGUACAGUUGCAAAAUACCAAUUCUGGAAAUGCCAUGAAGCUUUUGGUCAAUGACAACGUUUGUGUCGCGGUGCAGCAGCCCCCGUAUCCAGGUCCCUGGAAUGUUCUAAAUUCUCGAGGAGACAAUUGUAUCCCUACUGCCGGAUCGCCAAUGCAGUUUCAUGGUAACGAUUUCCAGAAUGCCAUGUGGAGUGAUACGAUCCAUUCUUCGAGCCAAACGGACUAUACAGGGGGCGGGAGUGUCCUCGACUCUGAACUGCCCUGUGCCUCGACAUCAAGCCUCCAGUCUUGGAGUCCACUUCCUCAUCCUGAAGGCAAUCCCAUGAUGGGAGAUUCCCCAGCAAUUUAUUUAGAUGACAUUUUGGAAUGUGAUGACUUGUCAGAUCCCACGAUACGAUGAUGAUGGUUCUGUUAGAGGUACCAGGAACGGUGGUGUUAAGUCCGAAAUUUAGCCCAAUUCUCUUUCUUCCUCAUAUCUGCAACUUUUCUCCGCGAAUUCUCAGACUCCGCUGGACCUCACAAGCCUCCCUCCAUUGAAGCUCCAUCCUUCACAAGCUCACCAUGGGUUUGCAUUUCCCACCGACGCUUCUGUGCCCUCCUCGCGUUUUGUUAUAGCAUAUCUGGUGGCUGCAUUUUCGGUUGCUAGUCGCGUGUGCUUCUGUUUCAGCUUCAGUUCGACAAACUGCUUUGGCUUCUCAGGUUCUGCUUCCGUUCAGCGUUCUUUCACGACCUAAUGGGUGGGUCGACUCGAUUGUUCCGGCCCGGUUUGGCUCGAUUUCUUCCAAUUGGCAGGUGAAGAUGAAGGAGUUGAAUCCGGAGAAGGAUUUUCUAGCAAUAGUCACGGAAGACUCGAAGGCUGUAAACAAUCUCUCCUGAGUAUAGCUAAGACUAGAGAAACUUCUUUUAUUUAUUUAUUGAUCUAUUCAUUUAUUCAUUCAUUCAGUGUGUUGGUUUCUUCAACGAUGGGCAUUUGUGCUUUAGUAUAUUUGGUGUCUUUCCAAUUGGACAUAUCAUAAGCGUCCCGUGUGUUGAAAUCAACUAUUUAGCAGUAAGGUAUAUUGGAUACAGCCGACGAUUCAUUCUUUC
This is an RNA transcript of Eucalyptus grandis, 2661 nucleotides long. It is a transcript of the gene named calmodulin-binding protein 60 B, with no coding region annotated. NCBI's taxonomy places the organism in Eukaryota, Viridiplantae, Streptophyta, Magnoliopsida, Myrtales, Myrtaceae. The record is from RefSeq and is a predicted model, not a curated record. The transcript has 12 exons.